UCUUUCCUCUUUUUUUUUAUUUUUUUAUUUUUUUCGUUGCGGAAUCAAGUUCAGUUUGUUCAGGCCACUUUUCUUUUCCUUCGGUUCUCUCUCGAUUCGAAAGUUUCACACAAGUUUUCAUCGUAGAAAGGUCCGGGGAGUGUGCGCGGUAUAAAAAUCGGAAGAGCACAC
Molecule: long non-coding RNA, 171 nt
Organism: Frieseomelitta varia
Lineage: Eukaryota; Metazoa; Arthropoda; Insecta; Hymenoptera; Apidae
Exons: 3
Source: RefSeq, a predicted model, not a curated record